This is a non-coding RNA of Triticum aestivum (bread wheat), 126 nucleotides long. The record is from Rfam. Lineage: Eukaryota; Viridiplantae; Streptophyta; Magnoliopsida; Poales; Poaceae.
UAAGUACUCCCUCCGUCCGAAAAAGCUUGUCCCAAGCUUGCUUCUCAAAUGGAUGUAUCUAGCACUAACUUGGUGCUAGAUACAUCCAUUUGAGGGACAAGAUUUUUCGGAUGGAGGGAGUAUCUC